AGACAGUUCGGUCUCUAUCUGCCACGGGCGCAGGAAACUUGAGGGGGGCUGGCCUUAGUACGAGAGGACCGGGCUGGACGGACCUCUGGUGUACCAGUUGUCGCGCCAGCGGCAGCGCUGGGUAGCUACGUCCGGACGGGAGAAACGCUGAAGGCAUCUAAGCGUGAAACCCUCCCCAAGAUGAGGUUUCCCUGGAUCGCGAGAUCCCUAAAGGCUCCUGGAAGAUGACCAGGUGAUAGGCCGGAGGUGUAAGGACGGUGACGUCCUGAGCUGACCGGUACUAAUCAGCCGUGAGGCUUGACCAUAUCCUCUCUC
This 315-nucleotide ribosomal RNA is filed under the name Luteitalea sp. RNAcentral describes it as "partial 23S ribosomal RNA". It matches the Rfam family "Bacterial large subunit ribosomal RNA", at positions 2624 to 2925 of the family's 2925-position model. The record is from RNAcentral. Lineage: Bacteria; Pseudomonadati; Acidobacteriota; Vicinamibacteria; Vicinamibacterales; Vicinamibacteraceae.